RNAcentral lists this ribosomal RNA (428 nucleotides) under uncultured bacterium. RNAcentral's name for it is "bacterial SSU rRNA". It matches the Rfam family "Bacterial small subunit ribosomal RNA", at positions 355 to 774 of the family's 1533-position model. The record is from RNAcentral.
UCGAGAAUCUUUCGCAAUGGGCGAAAGCCUGACGAAGCGACGCCGUGUGAACGAAGAAGGCCUUAGGGUUGUAAAGUUCUUUCGCUGGGGAACAAGAGAGACUGGCUAACAUCCAGUUAAUUUGAUGGUACUCGGUAAAGAAGCACCGGCUAACUCCGUGCCAGCAGCUGCGGUAAUACGGAGGGUGCAAGCAUUGAUCGGAAUUAUUGGGCGUAAAGGGCGCGUAGGCGGCUAGAUAAGUCAGAUGUGAAAUUCCGGGGGCUCAACCCCGGGGCUGCAUUUGAAACUGUCCAGCUAGAGUAUAGUUAGGGAAAACGGAAUUCCACGUGUAGCGGUGAAAUGCGUAGAUAUGUGGAAGAACACCGGUGGUGAAGACGGUUUUCUAGGCUAAAACUGACGCUGAGGCGCGAAAGCUAGGGGAGCAAACA